UUUUUUAUUUUUUGUCUUUUUUUGUCGUCUCUCGGGCCGCUCCAGCGGCAUCUGGAGGUUCCCAGGCUAGGACUAUAAUCAGAGCUGUAGCUGCUGGCCUACGCCAGAGCCACAGCAACUCGGGAUCCGAGUCGUGUCUGCAACCUAAACCACAGCUCACGGCAAUUCAGUAUCCUUAACCCAGUGAGCAAGGCCAGGGAUGGAACCCACAACCUCAUGGUUCCUAGUUGGAUUCGUUAACCACUGAGCCACGACGGGAACUCUGGGCAGUUGUUAGUUUAACAGACAAGGAAAAGGAAACUCAGAGAUUAAACAUGUUUAAGAUGGUAAAGCAACUAAAAUAUAACCUGAGACCAGAACCCAGUUCUAACUCCAGAGAUCCAUUUGAUUGCAGUUUUAGCAUCAUGCAGUUCUACUUGAAUCUCCUACCUCACUUAACAUGUAUGAAGAAUAAAGGGAGAAAAACAUCCCUUAGUGGGAAUGUUGAGGCAGACAUCAGGCUGAACACACUAUUGUCUUGACCCUUUAUGAAGUGAUUUUUGUUUUACCUUGUAAAAGAAUGCAUAGUCUAAGCAUUGUGACAGCCAGCUGACUGACAAUCUGGAGCAGGGGUCAGGUGGGGUGGGUCGUGGGUUCAGGGUGAGAAUGGAUUGAACGGUGCCUUGCUUUAGGUGGGGUGCUUGGCAACGGUGCCACCCCAGGUGGUUCCACACGGUAGCAUAUGCUCAACCUUUUAGUAAAGGCCAUGGUCUUAUUUAAAAACAAAAUAUCCAACAUUUCUAUUAUGAGCUUCCUAAAUCCCCGUUAAAUGAAAAUGCAGUAUUUCCCCCACUCUUUUUCCUAUGCUGACAUUUUAAAAUACCAUUUUCCUAUUUCUUUUCCUAUCUUUAGAGAGGAAACUAUGUGUAAUGCAGCAGAAAGAACCCCAUUUGGAAUUCAAGAAAACCGGGUUCUCAACCUUGCUCAACUCAGCUCAGUGACUUGCGGCAAGUUCCUUAGCCUCUCGGGGCCUAUUUGUGCACAGGAAAUCUAGGGGGUUUCCGAUCUAAGCUUUGAGGUCUCUUUUAACUCUCAAAUUCCAUGAUUCAUUUCUAACUUAGGUUUCCCUUAUUUAAUGUUGGCUAUUUGUUCUGCUGGGCGAGUUUAAUUUCUAAUUGAUAAUAUUCAUUGUAUUGCACUCUACAACGACUAGUAACGAGAUUCUCUUCCCUGAUGGACUUUGCUUUGCUCUUCAGCAUAAACUUUACAUCAUUUUUCAGAUUCUGACAAGUGUCAAAAAUCUCAGCGGGUUUACCGACUGCACCCGUUAGAACGAGAAAAGCCAACUCAAAUUGCCCUAAACAAUAAAAAUGAUCUAUUGACUCAUAGAGUUAAAAUUAAAUUAAGUAUUAGUGUAAAUUCAGGCAAGGCCUGAUCAGGCUUCUCCAUCCAUUUCUCUGAGAUUUUAUUGUCUCUCUUGAUCUUUGUUCACAACUUUCAUCCUCAGACAAACAACCAGAGGCUGCAGUGCUUGUGGGUCUCCUAUUCAUACCCAAUUGGAGCUCUGUAAAAAGUAUCCUACCAUCAAUUCUCUGAUGUAGGAACCAGGAAACUCUCCUGGGAGCCCUCAGAAAAUGGCCUUUUGCGUUUCAAUGGACUGAACUGGGUCACACAGUCAUUCCUGAACCAACCACUGUGGCCUGAGGAAUGCUCUGCAGGCUUAGGCUUGGGUGUUGGAAGCAUUCUUUGGUGACUGAGUCCAAUCCCUACACUUCAUGAUGGCUUUAGAACGUGGAAGAGAGAAUGCUGGGGAGUCAGUCAUUAUAUUGUGUCUGCUCAACUCAAACAACUUGGAGGCUGAUAUUGCAUCUUCUGGCCCUCUGCAUGCUGGGCACGCAGGUAAUGUUUGUUAAAUUGAACUGAAUUUCAAGUGGUGGUGAAGAUAUAAACCAAAACAGAAAAUAACACACAGUUCUCCUCUCCUCUUCCUCUCUAUUCUAUUCUUGUAAUGGCUGCUGUUCAUCCUCCCUCACUUUCCCCACUAUUUAUAUUUUACCCCUCUUAUUUUUAGCCAUAAGUUUUACUAAGUCUGAAGAUAACCAGAUAUUUCCUGAAUAAUAUGUCUCUGAAUAUGCAUAUUCUCUAAAUAUGAAUAUAAGCCUAUUUGCAAAUCUAGCACUUACAUUUAGAGUGUUGUUGGCAGGACUCUGAAAAUCAGUUUUUCUUUCUUUUUUUUUAAUAGAGAAAUGUACUACAGCAGAAGGAUUUGUUUUCCACAAAGCAGAACCAAUUUUCUUCAUUUCAAAGACUUUGAUACUUCCAUAAAUACUUAUAUACUCAUAAAAUAUUAAAUUAACAAAAUAACAAAUCAGGCCUUAAUGAAUAUAUAAUCCUCUGCCACUAAAAACCAAAUUUAGGACUGACAGGUGUACCUCAGAAAAGAGAAAGGGUGUGGGAGGGGGUGAACAGGCUUUCUUAAAAAUCCAUGGCACCAACCAAGGCUGGAGCACCUGGGUUUAUUCAGCCACUCACUCCCCUCCACCCUCACCCUGUUCUCUCAGAAGAUACACAGGGUUCUAAGGCCUGGAAGGAGGUAACACUCAUAAAUAACAAGGAACAGGGAGACUCCACCUAAUGGGUUUAGUAGCACUCCUUUUCCUUAACAUGACUAUGGUAACUCGGAGUUCCCAUUGUGGCUCUGUGGGCUAAGAGCCCAACUAGUAUCCAUGAGGAUGCAGGCUCAAUCCCUGGACUUGCAGAGUGGGUUACAGAUCCAGCGUUGCUAUGAGCUGUGGUGUAGGUCUUAGACAUGGCUCAGAUCCCACGUUGCUGUGGCUAUGGUGUAGGCUGGGAGCUGCAGCUCUGAUUUGACCCCUAGCCUGGUAAUUUCCAAAUGCUGUGGGUGUGGCCCUAAAAAAAAACAAACAAAAAAAACUGUUGGCCACUGCCUGAUCAUAUCUGGACAUCAGGGAAUACAGGACCAGAGCCACACAAUUUAGCAACUCAAUUGAGCCUUUCCUGAGCAUAUAUUCUGUCAGGUUCAACUAUAUGAGAUAAGAGUCCCUGCCCUUGAGGAAACCAGCAAACAGUUCUGGUUCAGCAGAGUCAAGUCAGUGGAAGAGGUAACAGGGAAGAGGGGCACACGGAGAGGAUGGACUCACUGCCUUAACUAUAGGAAGCACCAUCCACUUAAAACACAAUGUGAACACCAUCCCUGCAGUUGUGCAAAGGGGCAUCCCGGACCCACGCCCCAUCUUGGGCCAUCAAGAAAGGCUUCCUAGGAGAAGGAAUAUUCAAGUUGAGGUUUGAAGGAAGGGGGAGUCAUUUGGACAAUUUGCACCAGGCUAAGGAGGGUGUAUACACACAUCUACUGUAAAUACUACCCAACCCUUAAAGAGAAGAGUGGAUGUACAUCCUCGGGUGAGGAGAUAGAAAGGAACGCUCCCACCUUUGCCCUCUCCUAUGGUUGGGUCAGAAGAAGAAUGUGGUUAUGGGUCUUUGAGGCACUAGCUAGUAUUUUAUCAACAAUUGUCUUCCUAAGCCCUUGUACACCUGCUAACACUGGAGGGUUUAGGAGAAAGUCUAAACUCAGGGGUCUUGGGGUGUUUUAAGACAGACUGUCAUUGUGAACAAAAGAGGAAUAAUUAACUACACUAAACAGUCAAUCUUUCCCCAUGUUUAUAAAGUUGCACUGAGCCUGGCAGCCCACACUUUCCAGAAAAUAGCAAAGGAAAUGGAUUAGUAAAUAGUAAGAUAAUUGUUUGCCAGAUAUGUGAACUUUGAGAAACUCACUAUCAUAAUUCAAAAAUCCAAUUUAGGGAGUGUCCAUUGUGGCUCAGAAGUGAUGAACCUGACUAGUAUCCAUGAGGAUGUGGGUUUGAUCCCUGGCCCUGCUCAUGUUUACUGUAAAUUAUCAGUCCUUGCCUCCACUUUAUUUCUAAUGUCUUACAUCAUCUUCAGCAUCAUCAGUCUAAAGUCUUUUUCCUGGAGGCUGAUAAUCUCUAGAUUACUCAGCUGUUUUUCUGUUUUUUUUCUUGCUCCCUUAUCUGCAUUAUAGUUCUCUGCCUUUUCAUUUCUAUAGGUUUUUGGUGUGGUGUCCUUUUUGCAGACAAUAGAGUUGUAGCCUCUCUUGCUUCUGGUGUCUGCCCCCCUUGUGGCUGAAGUUGGUACGGGGGCUUGCUGUAGGCUUCCUGAUAGGAGGGACUGGUGUCUGCCCCCUGGUAGGAGGGGCUGAUUCCUAUCCCUCUGGUGGGUGGGGCUUUGUCUCUGGGUGAGAUUAGAGGUGGCUGUGUGUUUGGGGGGUCUUUAGGCAGCCAGUUUACUGAUGGGUGGGGCUGUGAUCCCACCUGGAUUAUUGUUUGGCCUGGGACUUCUCAGGGCUGAUGGGUGGGGCCAGAUUUUCCCUCUAGAGGAACACACACUGAAGAAUAUUUCUGAGAGCUUUGCCUUCAAUGUCCUUCCCUCACAACAAGCCACUGUCACCUCCUGUUUUCCCAGGAGAUCGCCAAGAAUUGCAGUCAAAUCUGACCCAGUUUCCUAUGGAGCCUCUGCUUUGCCCUGGGACCCAGUGCACAUGAAAGCCUGUGUGCAUCUUUCAAAACUGGGGUCUCCAGUCAGUCCCAUGGAGCUCCCACACACAAGCCCCACUGGCCUUCCAUGCCAGAUGCUCUGGGGGCUCUUUCUCCCAUUGCCAGAUCUCCAGCCAUGGGGACCCGAUGCGGGGCUCAGAACUCUCACUCCUGUAAGUGAGUCUCUGUGUGUUACUUUCCAGUCUGUGGGCUUCCCACACAGCAGGUAAGGGGUUACUUAUAUUGGGUAAUCGCCCCUCCUACUCUUGAUGUGGCCUCCUUUUUGUCUUCUGGAAUAGGAUAUCUUUUUGAAAGUUUCCAACCCAAUUGAUUGAAGGUUGUUCCACAUUUGGUUGUAAUUUCAUUGUUUUUAUGAGAGAACAUAAGCUCCAGUCCCUCUAUUUCGCUACCUUAAUCCUGUCUCUCCUACACUGGCAUUUUAAAAACAUGUCAUUUUUUAAGCCAAAUAUAAAUGCUGUAUCAUUAUUAGAAAAGCUGAUUCAGAUUAAAUGUGAUCAUCAGCUAUUAUCAAGUUAGUGACAGAAUUCACAGGCCUGCUUAUAUCUCUUUGGAGUUUGAAAGCGGAACGCCUGAAGUUAGGCUCUUAGGACGCAUAGUUGAAAAGAGAAAUCACGGGCUAUGAAGUCAUCUUGGGAAUCAUUUGUAAGAUAAGGGCUGAUCACUUCAGAAGCCACCCUAAGUAAAGGAAAAUUUUUAUGGAUCAAAUUUUACCCCUAGAUAAACACCUCCUCUGGUGUUCAUUUGAACUUCCAUGAGACUGGGGGAAGGCAAUAUUUUAGGCUAAUAGUGUCAAAGCUAUGGAUUUUGGGCUCAUCUGGGUUUCCACUUUUUUUUUUUUUUUUUUUUUUUUUU
Molecule: long non-coding RNA, 5420 nt
Filed under: Sus scrofa (pig)
Lineage: Eukaryota; Metazoa; Chordata; Mammalia; Artiodactyla; Suidae
Description: lncRNA (ENSSSCG00030031961.1)
Source: RNAcentral